RNAcentral lists this ribosomal RNA (875 nucleotides) under Staphylococcus aureus VET1832R. RNAcentral describes it as "bacterial SSU rRNA". It matches the Rfam family "Bacterial small subunit ribosomal RNA", at positions 8 to 864 of the family's 1533-position model. The record is from RNAcentral. Lineage: Bacteria; Bacillati; Bacillota; Bacilli; Caryophanales; Staphylococcaceae.
AGAGUUUGAUCCUGGCUCAGGAUGAACGCUGGCGGCGUGCCUAAUACAUGCAAGUCGAGCGAACGGACGAGAAGCUUGCUUCUCUGAUGUUAGCGGCGGACGGGUGAGUAACACGUGGAUAACCUACCUAUAAGACUGGGAUAACUUCGGGAAACCGGAGCUAAUACCGGAUAAUAUUUUGAACCGCAUGGUUCAAAAGUGAAAGACGGUCUUGCUGUCACUUAUAGAUGGAUCCGCGCUGCAUUAGCUAGUUGGUAAGGUAACGGCUUACCAAGGCAACGAUGCAUAGCCGACCUGAGAGGGUGAUCGGCCACACUGGAACUGAGACACGGUCCAGACUCCUACGGGAGGCAGCAGUAGGGAAUCUUCCGCAAUGGGCGAAAGCCUGACGGAGCAACGCCGCGUGAGUGAUGAAGGUCUUCGGAUCGUAAAACUCUGUUAUUAGGGAAGAACAUAUGUGUAAGUAACUGUGCACAUCUUGACGGUACCUAAUCAGAAAGCCACGGCUAACUACGUGCCAGCAGCCGCGGUAAUACGUAGGUGGCAAGCGUUAUCCGGAAUUAUUGGGCGUAAAGCGCGCGUAGGCGGUUUUUUAAGUCUGAUGUGAAAGCCCACGGCUCAACCGUGGAGGGUCAUUGGAAACUGGAAAACUUGAGUGCAGAAGAGGAAAGUGGAAUUCCAUGUGUAGCGGUGAAAUGCGCAGAGAUAUGGAGGAACACCAGUGGCGAAGGCGACUUUCUGGUCUGUAACUGACGCUGAUGUGCGAAAGCGUGGGGAUCAAACAGGAUUAGAUACCCUGGUAGUCCACGCCGUAAACGAUGAGUGCUAAGUGUUAGGGGGUUUCCGCCCCUUAGUGCUGCAGCUAACGCAUUAAG